GAUUGGUGCAGCUGGCAGCUCCGGCGAGCCUGCCCCAGCUCUGCAACAGAAAUGCAGGACACCCGCUGACAUGUGCAUUUUGGAUAACAACAAGUGGUGUUGCCUGACCAAGCCAAAUGAAAACCUGCAGUGCCCACCUGAGAUCCAAUUCCUCAGGAGAUUGAGUCCUGCCAUCUGGAAAUGAUGCCAUGGGCUCCUGGCAGCAAGGAUUCAGCUACCUUCAAAGUUGGUCAACACUUGACAUUUCCAUUAAAGGACAUGGUUGCACCUUCCUAAGGGGACUGCAGAAGUAACUCCAGAAACACCCCUCCUUGCAAAUGGAAGAAAUUAUGCAUGCUCUUCACGUAAGGUGACAGAAAUGCUAGGGGAGAAAGAAUCUGAGUUUGAGAGGAGUUACUCCAGGAUCUGCUUAAUGAAACUGUGAGCCAGUUUCCUCACCUAUAAAGUAUGAAUUAUGCCAUGGACCUAAUGUUCUGGAUUGAUUGCAAGAAACAAAUACAGUAAGUGGGCAGUUCAGACAUGAAUUAAACGUGGCUGUUCACCCAGGAUUCAAGUCCAGUUUCCCAGAGCAGUGAGGAGCAGAAAGAAUCGUCACCUGAAUUCACUCCUUCCAGCACCUCCGGCUGCUGGGAUCACGUCCGGAAAUAAACGGUCUCCAUAUAAACACAUUUCUCAGGCUCUCUGCUUGAAGAUGCUCACAUUCUACAGGACCUUACCUGGUUCCUGUGAGUCCUGAGCCCUCAGUUUCCGUGGAGAGAAUCCACUCACUUACUGACAUCCUGCCCCGCCAUGAUGAGAAGCAGACCCAGCUUCUCUGCUGUGGUAAUGAAAACUCCUUCAGAUGCUCCCCACGUUGUAGAUAUUUGUGGAUAUCUGUUGUCUGUGGCUGGCUCAUCUACCAUUCCCUUGGACUUUCCUAGUUGCCCUCUUCUGAUUCCUGUAUUGUUAUUUCAGCUGGGGUGCACUGAAAUAUACAAUAACCAAAAUUUUAAAAUGUGGAGAUGGGCUCAAUAGCAGGAUAGCGAUGACAGCGAAGAUUCAGUGAACUUGAGGAUAAAACAAAAAUUACCAAUCUGAGCAAGAGAAAGGAAACAGACAUUAAAAAAAAAAAACACAGCUUCAGGUGUCAGUGGGACUAUAACAGAAGAUCAAAUGUUUGCCCUUUUUUGCAUCUUUUGAAAUAUUCAUAUGGUAUUUCUCCCCUUUGUGGUGGUGGUGUUGAUACGGUGAAUGACAUUGAUUUAUCUUUUGAAUGCAAGGCCUAUCUUGCCUAUCUUGAUGACAAUUAUACAAUUAUCCUUGUUAUUGUUGGAUUUUAUUUGCUAG
Molecule: long non-coding RNA, 1326 nt
Organism: Manis javanica (Malayan pangolin)
Lineage: Eukaryota; Metazoa; Chordata; Mammalia; Pholidota; Manidae
Source: RefSeq, a predicted model, not a curated record